AACAAACACACUUAUGCAAAAAUAAUUUCAAUUAGCAAAAGAAUAAUAAAAAGAAAGAAAAAAAAAAUCAAAUCGCCAAAAAGAAAAAAAAUCAAUUCAAAUCUGGUGGGUUAUUCAAAUUUAUUUCGGUUUCUUCUCCAUGUGGUUGGUACUCUAGAUAUGGCUUUAAUAUUUGACCAUUAACUUUAAACGUAACACCGUUCUUU
RNAcentral lists this long non-coding RNA (206 nucleotides) under Citrus sinensis (sweet orange). RNAcentral's name for it is "long non-coding RNA (CSIN_LNC005072)". Lineage: Eukaryota; Viridiplantae; Streptophyta; Magnoliopsida; Sapindales; Rutaceae. The record is from RNAcentral.